Molecule: ribosomal RNA, 541 nt
Filed under: Herbaspirillum huttiense subsp. huttiense
Lineage: Bacteria; Pseudomonadati; Pseudomonadota; Betaproteobacteria; Burkholderiales; Oxalobacteraceae
Description: bacterial SSU rRNA
Rfam family: Bacterial small subunit ribosomal RNA
Source: RNAcentral
AGUCGACGGCAGCAUAGGAGCUUGCUCCUGAUGGCGAGUGGCGAACGGGUGAGUAAUAUAUCGGAACGUGCCCUAGAGUGGGGGAUAACUAGUCGAAAGACUAGCUAAUACCGCAUACGAUCUACGGAUGAAAGUGGGGGAUCGCAAGACCUCAUGCUCCUGGAGCGGCCGAUAUCUGAUUAGCUAGUUGGUGGGGUAAAAGCCUACCAAGGCAACGAUCAGUAGCUGGUCUGAGAGGACGACCAGCCACACUGGGACUGAGACACGGCCCAGACUCCUACGGGAGGCAGCAGUGGGGAAUUUUGGACAAUGGGGGCAACCCUGAUCCAGCAAUGCCGCGUGAGUGAAGAAGGCCUUCGGGUUGUAAAGCUCUUUUGUCAGGGAAGAAACGGUAGUAGCGAAUAACUAUUACUAAUGACGGUACCUGAAGAAUAAGCACCGGCUAACUACGUGCCAGCAGCCGCGGUAAUACGUAGGGUGCAAGCGUUAAUCGGAAUUACUGGGCGUAAAGCGUGCGCAGGCGGUUGUGUAAGUCAGAUGU